CCUGUACCCGAAACCGACACAGGUGGGUAAGUAGAGAAUACUAAGGGGCGCGAGAUAACUCUCUCUAAGGAACUCGGCAAAAUGACCUCGUAACUUCGGGAGAAGAGGUGCCCUUAAACGGGCUGCAAGAACCAGACGCUGGCGACUGUUUAUCAAAAACACAGGUCUCCGCAAAGUCGUAAGACGAUAUAUGGGGGCUGACACCUGCCCAGUGCCGGAAGGUUAAGGAAGCUUGUUAGUCUUUGACGAAGCUCGCGACCGAAGCCCCGGUGAACGGCGGCCGUAACAAUAACGGUCCUAAGGUAGCGAAAUUCCUUGUCGGGUAAGUUCCGACCUGCACGAAUGGCGUAACGACUUCCCCGCUGUCUCCAACAUCGACUCAGCGAAAUUGAAUUGCCUGUCAAGAUGCAGGCUUCCCGCGGUUAGACGGAAAGACCCCGUGCACCUUUACUACAGCUUCGCACUGGCAUCAGGAUUGUGAUGUGCAGGAUAGGUGGUAGGCUUUGAAGCGGUGACGCCAGUCAUCGUGGAGCCUCCCUUGAGAUACCACCCUUCGCACUCUUGAUGUCUAACCGCGGUCCGUUAUCCGGAUCCGGGACCCUGCGUGGCGGGUAGUUUGACUGGGGCGGUCGCCUCCCAAAGAGUAACGGAGGCGCGCGAAGGUUGGCUCAGAGCGGUCGGAAAUCGCUCGUUGAGUGCAAUGGCAGAAGCCAGCCUGACUGCAAGACUGACAAGUCGAGCAGAGUCGAAAGACGGCCAUAGUGAUCCGGUGGUCCCGAGUGGAAGGGCCAUCGCUCAACGGAUAAAAGGUACGCCGGGGAUAACAGGCUGAUACUGCCCAAGAGUCCAUAUCGACGGCAGUGUUUGGCACCUCGAUGUCGGCUCAUCAUAUCCUGGUUGAGAAUAAUCUUCCAAGGGUCGGUCUGUUCUACCGUUAAAAUGGUACGUGAGCUGGGUUUAGAACGUCGUGAGACAGUUCGGUCCCUAUCUGCCGUGGGUGUAGGAUACUUGAGAGGAGUUGCCCCUAGUACGAGAGGACCGGGGUGAACGAUCCACUGGUGGACCUGUUGUGGCGCCAGCCGCAGUGCAGGGUAGCUAUGAUCGGAAAGGAUAACCGCUGAAGGCAUCUAAGCGGGAAGCCCCCCUCAAAACAAGGUAUCCCUGAGGGCCGUGGUAGACCACCACGUCGAUAGGCCGGAGGUGUAAGCGCAGCAAUGCGUUCAGCUGACCGGUACUAAUGGCCC
Molecule: ribosomal RNA, 1244 nt
Filed under: Favella ehrenbergii
Lineage: Eukaryota; Ciliophora; Spirotrichea; Tintinnida; Xystonellidae
Description: partial Bacterial large subunit ribosomal RNA
Rfam family: Bacterial large subunit ribosomal RNA
Source: RNAcentral